Haliotis rufescens (red abalone) is the source of this 3818-nucleotide RNA transcript. It is a transcript of the gene named cell wall protein DAN4-like, with no coding region annotated. The record is from RefSeq and is a predicted model, not a curated record. The transcript has 5 exons. Lineage: Eukaryota; Metazoa; Mollusca; Gastropoda; Lepetellida; Haliotidae.
UCUAUCUUGUCAUCCGCCAACUUCUAAGUAAUGCCUAUCAAACAAGUUACGUGAUGGUGUAUGAAGCAUUCAGUAAAGCUAUGUUGCAAUACGUUGAUGGGAACAAUAUAGGUGUACUAUGUAUAUCCUGGCAUAACUAUUUCAGUGUUUUGGGAAAACCGAUCCAUAAACAGCAAGUGUUUAACAGUCUUCAAUCUCCCGACAGUCAUUUCGGACCGGUACAUGUUGAAUAACUGAGUGUUAAUUCCAUGUAUGAUGAUCAUGUACAUGUCUCUCAGACAGAUCUGUACCGGGCCAUGAACGUUGUAGACAACUGCCUCCUAAUUGUGUUAUAAGAACACAGUUAAUGGUACCGAAUGUUUGGCUGCUGCCAGGUUCCGUAGCAAGUAUAAAAUCUCACAUGUCAUGCCGAUUUUAUAAUGCUAGCCCACUAACAUACCAUGCAGUUUAACAUGAAUAUUUUACUCAGACACAUUAUACUGACUCUGAGCCAAACAGUCCUUCUUUUAGCCCCUUAAUGCCGAGCGGCAAUGACAGGGUAACAACAAGUACUUUCUUUUAACGUCGUUUGCGCACGCCGGUCGGACGCUCUACCACUAGACCACGCAGGCGGUACUGCGAUCUGAAGACGAGCGUUCAUGACCACUGAGGUGUGCGAAAACAAUUAUUACUCGGGGAUGAAAUGUUUUGAGACAAAUCAAUUAAACUGAUUGCCUUGAAGAAGUAUUGACUGAAAAACAUAAUUCUGUCUCAAAAACAACAAACAAGCAACUUAUCCCCGAAUAUUUAAUGGUCCGUAAAACAUGUUCCCGUUUUGUUGUUGUUUAGAUCACAGUGUAUCAAAGGAAGAUGUACAAAGUGAAAAAAGACUAUUCACGGUGUUGACCUCGCUGUUGUACCACGUUCCCUCUAAGGAAUCGCAGCUUAUUGUUGGAGGGAAGUCACGGCACAGUUAGUAGAUGUGUACCAGUGUUGUUUUCAUAAACAGAAACAUUAACAAUUAAAGGUACUUGCUCGUGGUUGUCUAGUGGUGUAAACACAGAAUAGCACUGAAGAUAUACUAUACUGAUAAUGGUAGAAGAUGUUCAGCAUUUUAAAGUGGAGAACUACAAAGUGACUACAAACAAUGUAACAACAUGCCUGUAAUUGAGUUCCUUACGUCAUUGUUAUAGCUAUGCGUCGUCCCAACUUACUACACAGGAAGGUAUAUUGAUUAUUGUGUUAAUCAAUAUAAGUAAACACACAACUUAAAUAACUGAGCCACUGACAUCUCUCAUAUGCUGGUUGGCAGGCAGGAUUAACUGAAGUAUUCCACAAAGAGCAAUAAUUGAUUUGCUCAGUUUCUUCUUGGCAUCAACUGUCACCGACGGUUCUGACUGAUAUUGACGGGAACAAUCGCAGUUGACUCUGACACCUCUUCCUAUUGCUCUAAUACCUCUUCCUAUUGCUCUGAUACCUCUUCCUAUUGCUCUAUUACCUCUUCAUAUUGCUCUAAUACCUCUUCCUAUUGCUCUAAUACCUCUUCCUGUUGCUCUAAUACCUCUUCUAUUGCCCUUAUACCCCCUCCCAAUGCUCUAAUACCUCUUCCUAUUGUUCAAAUACCUCUUCCUAUUGCUCUGAUACCUCUUCCUGUUGCUCUAAUACCUCUUCCUAUUGCUCUAAUACCUCUUCCUAUUGUUCAAAUACCUCUUCCUAUUGCUCUGAUACCUCUUCCUGUUGCUCUAAUACCUCUUCCUACUGCUCUAAUACCUCUUACUAUUGCACAUUGAAUAGGGCGUUGAACAUGUUACUGAUGAUUCCGUGCAUGCUGGUGAUGGUCGCUCAAGGACAUGGACAGAAUGUCAUCUCUGGACAACUCGUGUCUGGUGUUUUCAAAGAGACUCGCGUCCCCAGCUUCACAUUGUGUCAGUCUCUGUGUUGGUACUCCACUCCGUGCAGGUCCUCCACGUUUGCUACAGGGACAGGCUUGUGUCAGCUCAGCAGAGACACCAGGAACACCUCACCUGGCUCCUUCUCUGUCAGCCAGCAUCAUGUAUACUCGGACGCCCUGGCUCCACUUGGACUGAUAAAGCUGUAUGACUCUACUACAAAUCAGUUGAAAAACUUCUUUAUUAUGACGAGACACGUUUCGGAGUACACGCUUACUCCUUCAUCAGAAUUUUGACCACCCCUGCGCGAGUCGACCAUGUCCUGUAGAUGAGGUGUGUGUGCCAACUGAGGCAGCGACGAGCUUCUUGUGUCUGUACGGAGCACUAUCUACUGAUAUACCAUCUGCUUCAACAACACCUGACGCAGUACCUACGACGGUAACAACAGAUGCACCACCAACCAUUGCAACAACUACUGCAGCAACUUCGACUGUAACAACUACUGCAGCACCUACCACUGUGACAACUACUGCAGCACCUACCACUGUAACAACUACUGCAGCACCUACCACUUUAACGACUACUGCAGCAACCACCACUGUUACGACUACUGCAGCACAAACGACGGCAACAACUACUGCAACUACCACUGUGUCAACUACUGCAGCAACUACCACUGUAACAACUACUGCAGCAACUACCACUGUAACGACUACUGCAGCACCCACCACUGUAACGACUACUGCAGCACCUACCACUGUAACAACUACUGCAACUACCACUGUAACAACUACUGCAGCACCCACCACUGUAACGACUACUGCAGCACCUACCACUGUAACAACUACUGCAACUACUACUGUAACAACUACUGCAGCACCCACCACUGUAACGACUACUGCAGCACCUACCACUGUAAUGACUGCCUCGACUACUACUGAAACAAAUUCAUGUGUGUCGGAGUGUGUUGAUCUCAUCGGAAGCUUUCACUCCUGCUCAGGAGGCUGCGAUGAAUAUGUGGUGUGUUCAGUUAACGGUAUGUUUCCAAAAACCUGCCCGCCAGGUACAGUGUGGGAUGAUAAUAGCAAGUUAUGUAAUUUUCCACCAUCCCCAACAUGCAGUUAGAUGCUCUAAUUCUAGUUAUGCUGCAGUAUUAAACUCACAGCUAUAUCACAGCACCAAGGCAAACACCGUGUCUUCAUCCAAAAAUAACCUACCUACAAGGAUGUAAAAUCAAAGUACACUAGAUAGUGGCAGGCUUUGCAAGCGCGAGAAUACAUCAGUAUCAACUCAAAAUUGGAAAUUGUGCUUGUGCCAAGAGAAUAACUUCCUGUAUUUUUGGAAACAAUUUUAGCCACCAACAUUCUCCGUGCUUGAAGGACUCAAUUCAUCUGAUAGAUACAGAUUCAAAUACACCCACAUAUAAUUGGCAUUUACAGGUGUAACUGAAUAAAAGGAAAUGUGACUGGAGAUUUGAUGAGCCAAAGCGGUGUGUUCCCGAGACGGGGUUGACUGUCAGUUAUGAAACGCCACAUUCUGCAAUGUUCUAGUUAUAUAAUCCAAUCUUUUUUAAAACCUUGUCCAGCUAACCCUUGUGGUGAGCAAUGAUGCAACCAUGUCGUGGCACGUUGACACACAAUCAACCAAAUCAACCAGUUUGACCACUCAACCAAUUUAAUCGCCUCUUGUAACCAGUAAAGGUUGCUGGGGACAAGUUAGAAGCUGGAAUCUCUAAAGUGAUGGUGUCACUUAAUCACUAACUAGGGCCAUGGGGUAGCCUGGUUGGUAAAGGGUUCAGUCGUUGCGUUCAAGACCCGGGUUCGACUCCCUAAAUGUGAAGCCAAUUUCCAGCGUCUCACCAUAAGCCAUAUGAAUAUGAGAAUGUACCUCUCUGUAAAGUAAUGUACUGUGACUUUCAUCAAUAUGUCUGAGCUUUUUAGAUUAAUAAAA